UACGUAGGGUGCGAGCGUUGUCCGGAAUUAUUGGGCGUAAAGAGCUCGUAGGCGGUGUGUCGCGUCGGCCGUGAAAACCUGCAGCUUAACUGUGGGCUUGCGGUCGAUACGGGCAGACUGGAGUACUGCAGGGGAGACUGGAAUUCCUGGUGUAGCGGUGGAAUGCGCAGAUAUCAGGAGGAACACCGGUGGCGAAGGCGGGUCUCUGGGCAGUAACUGACGCUGAGGAGCGAAAGCGUGGGGAGCGAACAGG
Molecule: ribosomal RNA, 253 nt
Filed under: uncultured bacterium
Lineage: Bacteria
Description: partial 16S ribosomal RNA
Rfam family: Bacterial small subunit ribosomal RNA
Source: RNAcentral